AAGAAAGUAAGAAAGGGCGUAUGGCGGAUGCCUAGGCUCACGGAGGCGAUGAAGGACGUGAUAAGCUGCGAUAAGCUUCGGGUAGGUGCAAAUAACCCUUGAUCCGAAGAUUUCCGAAUGGGACAACCUAGCCGUCUGAAGGACGGUUACUCUUACCAAUGUAAGAGAGCUAACGCAGGGAACUGAAACAUCUUAGUACCUGCAGGAAGAGAAAAUAAAUGAAUGAUUCCCCCAGUAGUGGCGAGCGAACGGGGAACAGCCCAAACCAGUGGCGUCGCAAGGCGUUGCUGGGGUUGUAGGACCGCGACAUUGUAUUGAAAUGGUGAGUGGAAGUAUCUGGAAAGUUACAUCACAGAAGGUGAUAAUCCUGUACACGAAGCCAAAUCAAGCAUAGCGGUAUCCUGAGUAACGCGGGACACGAGGAAUCCUGCGCGAAUCUGCCGGGACCAUCCGGUAAGGCUAAAUACUCCCGUGAGACCGAUAGCGAACGAGUACUGUGAAGGAAAGGUGAAAAGAACCCCGAGCAGGGGAGUGAAAUAGUUCCUGAAACCAUACGCCUACAAGCGGUCGGAGCAUCGUAAGAUGUGACGGCGUGCCUUUUGCAUAAUGAUCCUACGAGUUACCGUCACUGGCGAGGUUGAGUGUCAUGAGACACGUAGCCGCAGUGAAAGCGAGCCUGAAGAGGGCGCACAGUCAGUGGGGGUAGACGCGAAACCAAGUGAUCUACACUUGGCCAGGAUGAAGUCCCGGUAACACGGGAUGGAGGUCCGCACCAAUAAGCGUUGAAAAGCUUCUGGAUGAGCCGAGUGUAGGAGUGAAAGGCCAAUCAAACUUGGAGAUAGCUCGUACUCCCCGAAAGGCAUUUAGGUGCCGCGUCGGAUGGUCACCGUGAGAGGUAGAGCGACCGAUAGGACAAGAGGGCUUCACCGCCUAUCGAGUCCUGACGAACUCCGAAUGCUCACGGUCUGCAGUCCGGCAGUAAGGGGGCGGGUGCUAAGGUCCGUCCCCGAGAGGAGAAGAAUCCAGACCGCCGUCUAAGGUCCCGGAGUUCUGCCUGAGUUAGUCUAACGAAGUCUGGUCCCUAUGACAGCUAGGAUGUUGGCUUGGAAGCAGCCAUUCAUUCAAAGAGUGCGUAACAGCUCACUAGUCGAGGGUCCGGGCAUGGAUAAUAAUCGGGUAUAAGGCAGACACCGAAGGCGCGGGAUAGCAAUUUUAAAAGUAUCGGUAGGGGAGCAUACUCACAGCGUCGAAUGGUGUACGUAAGUUAUCCUGGAGCGGUGAGUAAAGCAAAUGUAGGAAUAAGUAACGAUAAGGAGGGUUAGAUUCCCUCCCGCUGUAAGACCAAGGUUUCCCGGGCAAUGCCAAUCAGCCCGGGGUCAGUCGGGUCCUAAGUCUAAGCCGAACGGCGAUGGCGAUGGCAGAGACGGUUAAUAUUCCGUCACUGCCGCAUGGGGCGACGUGGAGACGGAGCAGUGAAACCACCGCGGGGCGACGGAAGUCCCCGUUGAAGAGUGUAGGUGUUGAGGAUGGCAGGCAAAUCCACCAUCCGAGCUGAACUUGAUAGUACGGAGUCCUCCUCGGAGGAAUCUGAUAGUGUGGGUAAUCAUACUCCCGAGAAAAUCCGCUAAGCUUAACCCAUGCGGCACCCGUACCGCAAACGGACACACGUGGUCGGGUAGAACAUACUAAGGCGUUGAGAGAUUCAUGGUUAAGGAACUAGGCAAAUUGACCCUGUAACUUCGGGAUAAAGGGUCCUCGUGAUGAGCGAGGCGCAGAGAAUAGGUCCAGGCAACUGUUUAACAAAAACACAGGGCUGUGCAAACUCGAAAGAUGACGUAUACAGCCUGACACCUGCCCGGUGCCGGAAGGUUAAGAGGAGAUGUCACUAGCAAUAGGAAGCAUUGAAUUGAAGCCCCGGUAAACGGCGGCCGUAACUAUAACGGUCCUAAGGUAGCGAAAUUCCUUGUCGGGUAAGUUCCGACCUGCACGAAUGGUGUAAUGAUCCGGACGCUGUCUCAACCAUGAGCUCAGUGAAAUUGUAGUAUCGGUGAAGAUGCCGAUUACCCGCGAUGGGACGAAAAGACCCCGUGAACCUUUACUACAGCUUAGCAUUGACCUUGGUCAUCCGAUGUGUAGGAUAGGCCGGAGGCUUCGAAGCGGGAGCGCCAGCUUUCGUGGAGCCAUCCUUGAAAUACGGCCCUUUGGCUGUCUGAGGUCUAACGCGUGAUACGCGGACACUGCUUGGUGGGUAGUUUGACUGGGGUGGUCGCCUCCAAAAGCGUAACGGAGGCUUCCAAAGGUGCCCUCGGGUCGAUUGGUAACCGACCUCAAAGAGUGCAAUGGCAUAAGGGCGCUUGACUGGGAGGCAGACAUGCCGAGCAGGCAGGAAACUGGGGCAUAGUGAUCCGGCGGAUGUGUAUGGAAACUCCGUCGCUCAAAGGAUAAAAGGUACUCCGGGGAUAACAGGCUGAUCCCCCCCAAGAGCUCAUAUCGACGGGGUGGUUUGGCACCUCGAUGUCGGCUCGUCACAUCCUGGGGCUGGAGAAGGUCCCAAGGGUUGGGCUGUUCGCCCAUUAAAGUGGCACGCGAGCUGGGUUCAGAACGUCGUGAGACAGUUCGGUCUCUAUCUAUCGUGGGCGUGGGAGUUUUGAGUGGUGCCGUCACUAGUACGAGAGGACCGUGAUGGACAGACCUCCGGUUUACCAGUUGUGCCGCCAGGCGCACCGCUGGGUAUCUGAGUCUGGAUUGGAUAAGCGCUGAAAGCAUCUAAGUGCGAAGCCAGCCGCAAGAUGAGAACUCCAUUGAGGGUCGUCAAAGACGAUGACGUUGAUAGGAUGCAGGUGUAAAGACAGCGAUGUCAAAGCCGAGCAUUACUAAUUGCCCGAACACUUUCUUUA
Molecule: ribosomal RNA, 2897 nt
Filed under: Segatella copri
Lineage: Bacteria; Pseudomonadati; Bacteroidota; Bacteroidia; Bacteroidales; Prevotellaceae
Description: 23S ribosomal RNA
Rfam family: Bacterial large subunit ribosomal RNA
Source: RNAcentral